Molecule: long non-coding RNA, 710 nt
Filed under: Mytilus galloprovincialis (Mediterranean mussel)
Lineage: Eukaryota; Metazoa; Mollusca; Bivalvia; Mytilida; Mytilidae
Source: RNAcentral
ACAAUUGAGAAAAACUGAAACCAUUAUCCCUGCAUGUAAUAUGAAAACAAAAAGAUGUGGUAUAAAUGCCAAUGAGAUGGCCACAGACCACAAUUAAUUCCUCUAUUAGAGUGGGGUGCUCAUUUUCGCCAUAUCUUUCCAUGUUUUCUACAGUUUAUGUUCAGGUCUAUAUGUUUUUGAAGUAUACUGAAAUUUCUAUAUGAAAAUAACUUCAAAUGCAAAAUAUUCUUAAGCUUGAUAACGUGUUUAUUUGAAAAUAAUCAUCUGAAAAGUUAGAUUUAAGGGUGUUUGCAAUUGCCUGAUGUUUUGUCAAUGGGGGACACAUAUUCGCCGUUUUAUAUUAUCUGUUUAAACCAAAUAAUUGCAGCUUUAAACAUAUUUUCAAAUCAACUUCAUUAUAGAUGGCAAGAGCAGAUAUUUUAAAGGUGUACAGAACUGAAAUUUAGGGCAAUCAGUAAAAAAUUAACUAAGAAAUACUUCUUUGAAAUCGUGUUUUCAUUCAGGAAAUUGGCCGAAAAUCGUUGUCCGUUUUUCGGUCCUUUGCGGUAAGUGCCGCAAUUUUGUCGUAGUUUGAAAAAUAACCAUAUUUGUUAUAAAAAUCUAAGUCACCGGCAUUUUUCUUCCAUUUCAGCCAUCUUUUGAAGUUUUUACACCUCAAAAUAGUAAAACGGCGAAAUUGUGUCCCCGGCGAAUAUGCGCACCCCACUCUA